GAUGAACGCUGGCGGCGUGCCUAAUACAUGCAAGUCGAGCGAACAGACGAGGAGCUUGCUCCUCUGACGUUAGCGGCGGACGGGUGAGUAACACGUGGAUAACCUACCUAUAAGACUGGGAUAACUUCGGGAAACCGGAGCUAAUACCGGAUAAUAUAUUGAACCGCAUGGUUCAAUAGUGAAAGACGGUUUUGCUGUCACUUAUAGAUGGAUCCGCGCCGCAUUAGCUAGUUGGUAAGGUAACGGCUUACCAAGGCAACGAUGCGUAGCCGACCUGAGAGGGUGAUCGGCCACACUGAAACUGAGAAACGGUCCAGACUCCUACGGGAGGCAGCAGUAGGGAAUCUUCCGCAAUGGGCGAAAGCCUGACGGAGAAACGCGGCGUGAGUGAUGAAGGUCUUCGGAUCGUAAAACUCUGUUAUUAGGGAAGAACAAAUGUGUAAGUAACUAUGCACGUCUGGACGGUACCUAACAAGAAAGCCACGGCUAACUACGU
RNAcentral lists this ribosomal RNA (496 nucleotides) under uncultured bacterium. Its description in RNAcentral is "partial 16S ribosomal RNA". It matches the Rfam family "Bacterial small subunit ribosomal RNA", at positions 28 to 506 of the family's 1533-position model. The record is from RNAcentral.